This 484-nucleotide ribosomal RNA is filed under the name uncultured organism. Its description in RNAcentral is "bacterial SSU rRNA". It matches the Rfam family "Bacterial small subunit ribosomal RNA", at positions 29 to 507 of the family's 1533-position model. The record is from RNAcentral.
AUUGAACGCUGGCGGAAUGCUUUACACAUGCAAGUCGAGCGGCAGCGCGGGGGCAACCCUGGCGGCGAGCGGCGAACGGGUGAGUAACAUAUCGGAACGUACCCAGUAAUGGGGGAUAACUACCCGAAAGGGUAGCUAAUACCGCAUACGCCCUGAGGGGGAAAGCGGGGGAUCGCAAGACCUCGCGUUAUUGGAGCGGCCGAUAUCGGAUUAGCUAGUUGGUGGGGUAAAGGCCCACCAAGGCGACGAUCCGUAGCGGGUCUGAGAGGACGACCCGCCACACUGGAACUGAGACACGGUCCAGACUCCUACGGGAGGCAGCAGUGGGGAAUUUUGGACAAUGGGGGCAACCCUGAUCCAGCCAUUCCGCGUGAGUGAAGAAGGCCUUCGGGUUGUAAAGCUCUUUCGGCAGGAACGAAACGGCGGGCUCUAACAUAGCCUGUCACUGACGGUACCUGAAGAAGAAGCACCGGCUAACUACGUG